RNAcentral lists this non-coding RNA (30 nucleotides) under Homo sapiens (human). The record is from RNAcentral. Lineage: Eukaryota; Metazoa; Chordata; Mammalia; Primates; Hominidae.
UGGCCAAAGAUAAGACCAAGGUGCGGGUGU